This is a long non-coding RNA of Microplitis mediator, 2156 nucleotides long. RefSeq lists it as uncharacterized. The record is from RefSeq and is a predicted model, not a curated record. NCBI's taxonomy places the organism in Eukaryota, Metazoa, Arthropoda, Insecta, Hymenoptera, Braconidae. The transcript has 3 exons.
AGAGAGAUAAUUAUUUUAAUUGCCGAGACCUUGAGUUCAAUAAUUUAAAAUAUUGCGUUCGUUUGAAAUUUUCACGACGUGAAGGUUUAAGAUUUAUUAACUAUAAUAAUAAUGUGUAUAUAUUUAUAUACAGGAAAAUUUAAAUUAAUCUCGAUAGAGAAAUAAGACUGGGAAUGAAUCAUCAACUUGGUAAGUAUAAAUAUUCAGCGUAAGUAUGCGCACAUUAGCAUCGACCUGGUGGUACUAUAAACGUAUUUUAGAGCAGUACAAAAAUUAAAUACAGCUGACAUUAAACAUAACAGGAAACGAGCGGAUAUUCGUACGUGAUUGUAGCAAAAAUAUUUAGUAUAAUAAUAAUUAUUAUUUUAAUAUAACUAAAUAUCGUAGUACAAAAUAUAAAAAUGAUAUUUUUCUAGUCUUUAGAUCGUACAUCUCUAUUUUAGUUUCUAUUGCGUAGAUGCAAAGCAGCGUAUAAAUGUUUAUCACACAUUUAUACCGAAGACGAACACGACGACGACGACAAUCAACAGCAGAGUCCGGUUGGCAGCAAUGGAAUCUGCAGCGACCUACUUGGCGUACCUCGACCCUUGCAUUGAUUUGAAAAGCACGAGCCCAAAUUAUUUGCCAACUUGCUUACAUUACUCUCAUUUAUUUUUUCAUUUCAUCUAGCCCGCUUUCUCUUGUCAUUCAUUCAUUUAUUCAUUUAUUUAUUUAUUUUUAUGCUGAAAUUAAAAAUAAAAAAAUCAUACAAUUAUUCAAUGUCACUAAAUUAUUAAGUAAUUUGUAAUAAAAUUUUUUAAUAGAAAAAAAGGGGUUGUUUCUUUACUCACAAAGAGACUCGAGGUACAGAAUAACAAGAAGAAGAAUAAGAUGAAGAAGAUGAAAAAGAAGAAAAGAGACCAUGAAAAGUAAUUGCCAAGAGAACCAAGUGAAAUAUGCGAGCUCCCGCCAAUAACCGGUAUUCGCCAUUAUAUCCUCGUGUUUAUUUUCCCGUAGAUUCAAACCUCGCUAAAGCAAAAGGGAAGAGCCAGAAGAAGAAGGAGUUAAAAGAAGAAAUAAGAAUAACAAGAGUAACUGCAAGAGUAUAGAAGGAUGCUGUGUACCGUAGCGUUGGGUGAUGAACGAUUUAAUCGCAUUACUAAGGCAACAAUUGACAUCAUGACCUAACGAAGCUAAGCCUACUUUAUAACCCCCGCUGAUCAUUAUUGCCAGAGCCCGUAGUCCUAAGAACCAGUGUCUAUUGUCUCGCGAUUUAAAUAUUCAACGAUUUAUUUAGCUACCAACCGUUCGCUCGAGGUAAUUGUUUGUAACUCGGGCAAGAAGAAAUAGACCAAUGGCUCCACGGACAAAAAGUCUGCGGAGAUUUCAAAACGAGGGAGGAGGAAUGGCAACAACGCGGGGCCAUUGUGAGAGAGCUCAACAUUUUAUCCAAGGUUACCCAGUCGUGGGCAUAUUGGGUGCUCCACUCCUAAGAAGAAGACGAAGUAAGUACGUACAAUAAUAAUAAUAACUAUGAUUAUUAUUAUUAUUGUAUUAACAAUAAUAAUGAUAAUGAUACUGGUACAAGAAGACGGCAAAUGUCCAUGAACAAUCCCAAGCAAGGUAUAACAAACUCUACGCCACUGAAAAGUACGCUGUUGAUCUCCACGAGUUAAAAGUAUGUUUUUUAACUUAUGUAUACACCUAGUUGGCUAGUGUACACAAUUGUAUCCAUAAUAGCUUCUCCUACUCUUAAACUUCAUCCUCGUUCUCUUGGUUCGUUUUCUUUUCAUGGUUCUUCUCCUCGUCUCAAGACCAACACUAGAGGAAUGGCAUAGCCCCACUGCAUAAGCAACUCCAACCGUAUGUGUUUAUAAUAAUAAUACACACGCUGUAUUGUAGAAUAUAUUCUUCCUUGUAAUCGUCAUCAUUACGAAUACCUGAGGCGAAUUAAACGAGUGUCUUUUUUUAUAUUUAGUAUCUCUGUCAUCAAAAGAUUCAAAGUUUAUCGACAUCGGCAAACUUGAUUACAAUUUUAAAACUCAAAAAUGUUGUAAUAGAGGCUGCUAAAAUAUAAAUAUAUAAAGAAAUAAGCAAAAACAUAUUGCGGCAUUUCUUUGAUAACGAGUUUUAAUCCUCGGAAAAAAAUGUCGGGCGAGAUAAUCCUCUGAAUAAAA